Molecule: non-coding RNA, 437 nt
Organism: Peromyscus maniculatus bairdii (prairie deer mouse)
Lineage: Eukaryota; Metazoa; Chordata; Mammalia; Rodentia; Cricetidae
Source: RefSeq, a predicted model, not a curated record
CCAGCCUUAGGAUCCGAAGAGCAGCAGUAGAAGUCGCUCAUUUAAACACUACCAACAUGCAGAGUGGGCAGAAGGAGAAAAAUCUUGAUCCCAGAAAGGGCAGGACAUGAGUACCUAAGGAGAAGUUGAUGCUUGAGAGGAAGUGAAACCUGUAACAGCUACACUAGGUUUCAGUCUCUGGUGGUUUUCAUUUAGGAGGAAAGAAAAAUUUAUAAACACGACUGUAAAAAUUGUAUGAUGCAAACUCCUUGGAAUCUUGGCCGAAAGUAAAAGCAGUGCUCUGUAAGAAGACAGAAAGAAAUCUGAGACUAAAUGCAACAAACACAUAAAAGAAACCAUCCAGAUAACUUUCUGUGUCAAGUUUUCAAGGAUGAAGUAAGCGUGGACUGGGGUUUUAUUAUUGAAAAUGUUUUCAGGAAACUUGAAAGCUCAUUACG